CUUGGCUCCUCCGGCAUCUCCUGCCUAUUGUUGGAACUCGGCCUGGCCGCAAACAUGCUUAUUAUCCUCUGUGUCUGGACAGCAUUCCUUUGUCUUCUGGCUGAUUCUAGAGCAACUGAGGAUGUCGAUCCACAUUCUCACAUAGGUCUGCUCUUCCUUCAUUCCCACCUCCACUAUUGUUUCAAGUCCACAGUCCCCGUAAUGCCCAGAGGCAUCCUGUGUCCUACAGAGAUGGCAGGGACAAGAAAGCAAUGACAGCCUGUGCCGGGUUUUUUCAAACUGUGAAAAGGACACAUGGGCCACGUCAAAUUCAAAUAAUGUGAAAAGGAGAGAGAGGGUGCCCGUUCUGGACUGCAGCCUGGGCCCCCCCAAGGGCAGCAGCGGGAAAGCAACAUGUAUUGUGUUUACCCAGAUGGAACUCCUUUGAUCUCAGUACUCUGUUGCCCGAAUGUGAAUGUCUUGGAAAAUCCACUGGGCUUUGGCUCUGAGGAGAAGCAGCCGGUAGACCCCCC
This 512-nucleotide long non-coding RNA is filed under the name Equus caballus (horse). RNAcentral's name for it is "lncRNA (ENSECAG00000058523.1)". The record is from RNAcentral. Lineage: Eukaryota; Metazoa; Chordata; Mammalia; Perissodactyla; Equidae.